CUUUUACUUGUAGUAUUUGAUGAAAUAAAGUGCCCGGUUUAGUUUCUACUAGAAUUCAAUCACCUAUAUUCUAAAACCCCAAAUCACAAUCGCUUAAACCCUAGAACCUCAACUACGAAAUCAAAAUCAUGGGCUCAUCUCUAAAUCAGCAGCAGGCGGUGUGUGGGAAGGAAUCAAUCGAUCUUCUCAAUUGCGUUGCUCAAUCGCCCUUCGACCAAGAAAAAUGCCUUUCCCUCCUUCAAACCUUGCGCCAAUGCGUCAUUAAUAAGAAAGUGAAGAAGUUCUCCCUCGCAGAAGAGACGAGGGAACAAGCAGAUUCAAGUGGGAAGAAGCAAACUUGAUAUUCGAGGAAGCUGGCACGACCGUGAACCUUGCACAUUCUCCCUCUUGAUCCAAAAUAUUGUAUCAUUCACAUUUUUUGCACCAUCAGCAUAAACAAUUGUUGCUUGGGGACUGUUGAAUAUGUCUCACUAAGUAGAAACAAACUACUACUCGUGCUUGUAAUGCUAAUGAAUUGUACUAGAUUUUGCGGUUGUAUCAAAUUGCUCUAUCUCCACAGUAUUCCAAGGUAAAAGCGAGCGAGUAAUCAAAUUAUGAGUGACCCCAGAAAUCUAUUGUUGUAUCCUUUGCUUUUGUCUGUAUUCUCAAUAAUCAACUGACUUUUGGAUAAAUGAUUUCAGUCUAAUUUAUUGAUGCAUAAGACCAUUUAAUAUUGUUA
Molecule: long non-coding RNA, 718 nt
Organism: Salvia splendens (bonfire salvia)
Lineage: Eukaryota; Viridiplantae; Streptophyta; Magnoliopsida; Lamiales; Lamiaceae
Exons: 2
Source: RefSeq, a predicted model, not a curated record